Molecule: ribosomal RNA, 486 nt
Filed under: uncultured bacterium
Lineage: Bacteria
Description: partial 16S ribosomal RNA
Rfam family: Bacterial small subunit ribosomal RNA
Source: RNAcentral
AUUGAACGCUGGCGGCAUGCCUUACACAUGCAAGUCGAACGGCAGCACGGGUGCUUGCACCUGGUGGCGAGUGGCAAACGGGUGAGUAAUACAUCGGAACAUGUCCUGUAGUGGGGGAUAGCCCGGCGAAAGCCGGAUUAAUACCGCAUACGAUCUACGGAUGAAAGCGGGGGACCUUCGGGCCUCGCGCUAUAGGGUUGGCCGAUGGCCGAUUAGCUAGUUGGUGGGGUAAAGGCCUACCAAGGCGACGAUCAGUAGCUGGUCUGAGAGGACGACCAGCCACACUGGGACUGAGACACGGCCCAGACUCCUACGGGAGGCAGCAGUGGGGAAUUUUGGACAAUGGGCGAAAGCCUGAUCCAGCAAUGCCGCGUGUGUGAAGAAGGCCUUCGGGUUGUAAAGCACUUUUGUCCGGAAAGAAAUCCUUGGCCCUAAUACGGUCGGGGGAUGACGGUACCGGAAGAAUAAGCACCGGCUAACUACGUG